GAUCAUGGCUCAGGAUGAACGCUGACAGAAUGCUUAACACAUGCAAGUCUACUUGAACUUCGGUUUGGGUGGCGGACGGGUGAGUAACGCGUAAAGAACUUGCCUCACAGUUAGGGACAACAUUUGGAAACGAAUGCUAAUACCUGAUAUUAUGAUUUUAGGGCAUCCUAAGAUUAUGAAAGCUAUAUGCGCUGUGAGAGAGCUUUGCGUCCCAUUAGCUGGUGGAGUAACGG
Molecule: ribosomal RNA, 233 nt
Filed under: uncultured bacterium
Lineage: Bacteria
Description: partial 16S ribosomal RNA
Rfam family: Bacterial small subunit ribosomal RNA
Source: RNAcentral